RNAcentral lists this ribosomal RNA (479 nucleotides) under uncultured bacterium. RNAcentral describes it as "partial 16S ribosomal RNA". It matches the Rfam family "Bacterial small subunit ribosomal RNA", at positions 28 to 507 of the family's 1533-position model. The record is from RNAcentral.
GAUGAACGCUGGCGGCGUGCUUAACACAUGCAAGUCGAACGAAGCACUUAUCUUUGAUUCUUCGGAUGAAGAGGUUUGUGACUGAGUGGCGGACGGGUGAGUAACGCGUGGGUAACCUGCCUCAUACAGGGGGAUAACAGUUAGAAAUGACUGCUAAUACCGCAUAAGACCACGGAGCCGCAUGGCUCAGUGGGAAAAACUCCGGUGGUAUGAGAUGGACCCGCGUCUGAUUAGGUAGUUGGUGGGGUAACGGCCUACCAAGCCAACGAUCAGUAGCCGACCUGAGAGGGUGACCGGCCACAUUGGGACUGAGACACGGCCCAAACUCCUACGGGAGGCAGCAGUGGGGAAUAUUGCACAAUGGGGGAAACCCUGAUGCAGCGACGCCGCGUGAGCGAAGAAGUAUUUCGGUAUGUAAAGCUCUAUCAGCAGGGAAGAAAAUGACGGUACCUGACGAAGAAGCACCGGCUAAAUACGUG